RNAcentral lists this ribosomal RNA (545 nucleotides) under uncultured bacterium. Its description in RNAcentral is "bacterial SSU rRNA". It matches the Rfam family "Bacterial small subunit ribosomal RNA", at positions 776 to 1331 of the family's 1533-position model. The record is from RNAcentral.
CAAUAGACUACCCAGGUAGUCCACGCCGUAAACGAUGGAUACUAGCUGUUGGAGGUAUCGACCCCUUCAGUAGCGAAGCUAACGCGUUAAGUAUCCCGCCUGUGGAGUACGGUCGCAAGACUAAAACAUAAAGGAAUUGACGGGGACCCGCACAAGCGGUGGAUCGUGUUCUUUAAUUCGAUGCUAAACGAAGAACCUUACCAGGGUUUGACAUCCCUUGAAUUAAUCCGAAAGGAUUGAGUGCUUUAUUGAACAAGGUGACAGGUGAUGCAUGGCCGUCGUCAGCUCGUGUCGUGAGAUGUUUGGUUAAGUCCAUCAACGAGCGCAACCCUUGCAAGUAGUUGUAUUUUUCUACUUGGACUGCCCCGGUAACGGGGAGGAAGGAGGGGAUGGAUGGUCAGGUCAGUAUUUCCCUUACAUCCUGGGCUAGAAACACGAUACAAUGGCUAGUACAAUGCGCAGCGAAGCCGCGAGGUGAAGCAAAUCGCAUCAAAGCUAGUCCCAGUUCGGAUUGGAGGCUGAAACUCGCCUCCAUGAAGUCGGAA